This 555-nucleotide ribosomal RNA is filed under the name uncultured bacterium. Its description in RNAcentral is "partial 16S ribosomal RNA". It matches the Rfam family "Bacterial small subunit ribosomal RNA", at positions 356 to 920 of the family's 1533-position model. The record is from RNAcentral.
UGGGAAUAUUGCACAAUGGGCGAAAGCCUGAUGCAGCGACGCCGCGUGAGGGAUGACGGCCUUCGGGUUGUAAACCUCUUUCAGCAGGGAAGAAGCGAAAGUGACGGUACCUGCAGAAGAAGCGCCGGCUAACUACGUGCCAGCAGCCGCGGUAAUACGUAGGGCGCAAGCGUUGUCCGGAAUUAUUGGGCGUAAAGAGCUCGUAGGCGGUUAGUCGCGUCUGCUGUGAAAACUCGAGGCUCAACCUCGGGCUUGCAGUGGGUACGGGCUGACUAGAGUGCGGUAGGGGUGACUGGAAUUCCUGGUGUAGCGGUGGAAUGCGCAGAUAUCAGGAGGAACACCGAUGGCGAAGGCAGGUCACUGGGCCGCAACUGACGCUGAGGAGCGAAAGCAUGGGGAGCGAACAGGAUUAGAUACCCUGGUAGUCCAUGCCGUAAACGUUGGGCACUAGGUGUGGGGUCCAUUUCCACGGAUUCCGUGCCGCAGCAAACGCAUUAAGUGCCCCGCCUGGGGAGUACGGCCGCAAGGCUAAAACUCAAAUGAAUUGACGGGGUC